UGAUUCCCCUAACCUCAUCUCAACAGAGGCCUUGCUGCCCAGAAGCCCAGGAAACAGCAUGCAGCUCAACUCUUGCCUCUGCCUCAGCUUGCUGGGUAACAUUGGACAGAGAUUGGACAGUGACCGGAGAGACAAGGGACCCCAGCCCAGCCCUGUGACCCAGGAAUGUGGCUGUCUCCCCUGGCGCCUGAGGGAUCUGGGAGCUGUGGACUCUGAAGGUGGGGGAGGAACCAAGACCCAGAAGCCAGCUCAUCCUUGGACUUGGAAGGGCAGGAUGACACAAAUGGGAAGUGAGGGUGUCUUCUCCAGCCUGGGGGGCAUGGCAGGAUGUGGCCACUAAACCCUGGUCUCCAAAGUGGGACAUGAGCAAGAUAAGUCAAUGGCAUGUGCAAAGAAACACGACCCCUGGGCUUCUAUUUUUUAUCUCAUCAUCUUUAAAUUUCAACUUUUAUGGAUACAUAAUAUAUAAGCCCAGUAAUAAAGUGCCUAUGGUUUAUAAAUAAAUAAAUAUACAUGCUCUGAAACCUUUUCCUGAAACGGAAAAAACCUC
This is a long non-coding RNA of Otolemur garnettii (small-eared galago), 550 nucleotides long. RefSeq lists it as uncharacterized. The transcript has 3 exons. The record is from RefSeq and is a predicted model, not a curated record. Lineage: Eukaryota; Metazoa; Chordata; Mammalia; Primates; Galagidae.